RNAcentral lists this ribosomal RNA (402 nucleotides) under bacterium. RNAcentral's name for it is "partial 16S ribosomal RNA". It matches the Rfam family "Bacterial small subunit ribosomal RNA", at positions 355 to 776 of the family's 1533-position model. The record is from RNAcentral.
UGGGGAAUUUUGCACAAUGGGGGAAACCCUGAUGCAGCGACGCCGCGUGACUUAGAAGGCCUUCGGGUUGUAAAAAUCUUUUCUAUGGGAAGAAAAUGACAGUACCAUAGGAAUAAGGACCGGCUAAUUACGUGCCAGCAGCCGCGGUAAUACGUAAGGUCCGAGCGUUGUCCGGAAUCAUUGGGCGUAAAGGGUACGUAGGCGGGUAAGCAAGUUAGAAGUGAAAUCCUAUAGCUCAACUAUAGUAAGCUUUUAAAACUGCUCAUCUUGAGGUAUGGAAGGGAAAGUGGAAUUCCUAGUGUAGCGGUGAAAUGCGCAGAUAUUAGGAGGAAUACCGGUGGCGAAGGCGACUUUCUGGCCAUAACCUGACGCUGAGGUACGAAAGCGUGGGUAGCAAACAGG